This 606-nucleotide ribosomal RNA is filed under the name Nocardioides caricicola. Its description in RNAcentral is "bacterial SSU rRNA". It matches the Rfam family "Bacterial small subunit ribosomal RNA", at positions 379 to 986 of the family's 1533-position model. The record is from RNAcentral. Lineage: Bacteria; Bacillati; Actinomycetota; Actinomycetes; Propionibacteriales; Nocardioidaceae.
AAGCCUGAUCCAGCAACGCCGCGUGAGGGAUGACGGCCUUCGGGUUGUAAACCUCUUUCAGCGGGGACGAAGCGCCGGUAAUGGUGGUGACGGUACCCGCAGAAGAAGCACCGGCCAACUACGUGCCAGCAGCCGCGGUAAUACGUAGGGUGCGAGCGUUGUCCGGAAUUAUUGGGCGUAAAGGGCUCGUAGGCGGUUUGUCGCGUCGGGAGUGAAAACACCGGGCUUAACUCGGUGCUUGCUUUCGAUACGGGCAGACUAGAGGCAUGCAGGGGAGAACGGAAUUCCUGGUGUAGCGGUGAAAUGCGCAGAUAUCAGGAGGAACACCGGUGGCGAAGGCGGUUCUCUGGGCAUGUCCUGACGCUGAGGAGCGAAAGUGUGGGGAGCGAACAGGAUUAGAUACCCUGGUAGUCCACACCGUAAACGUUGGGCGCUAGGUGUGGGGCCUAUUCCAUGGGUUCCGUGCCGCAGCUAACGCAUUAAGCGCCCCGCCUGGGGAGUACGGCCGCAAGGCUAAAACUCAAAGGAAUUGACGGGGGCCCGCACAAGCGGCGGAGCAUGCGGAUUAAUUCGAUGCAACGCGAAGAACCUUACCUGGGUUUGACA